This 722-nucleotide ribosomal RNA is filed under the name uncultured Fusobacterium sp. Its description in RNAcentral is "bacterial SSU rRNA". It matches the Rfam family "Bacterial small subunit ribosomal RNA", at positions 28 to 776 of the family's 1533-position model. The record is from RNAcentral. Lineage: Bacteria; Fusobacteriati; Fusobacteriota; Fusobacteriia; Fusobacteriales; Fusobacteriaceae.
GAUGAACGCUGACAGAAUGCUUAACACAUGCAAGUCAACUUGAACUUCGGUUUGGGUGGCGGACGGGUGAGUAACGCGUAAAGAACUUGCCUCACAGAUAGGGACAACAUUUGGAAACGAAUGCUAAUACCUGAUAUUAUGAUUUUAGGGCAUCCUAGAAUUAUGAAAGCUAUAUGCGCUGUGAGAGAGCUUUGCGUCCCAUUAGCUAGUUGGAGAGGUAACGGCUCACCAAGGCGAUGAUGGGUAGCCGGCCUGAGAGGGUGAACGGCCACAAGGGGACUGAGACACGGCCCUUACUCCUACGGGAGGCAGCAGUGGGGAAUAUUGGACAAUGGACCAAGAGUCUGAUCCAGCAAUUCUGUGUGCACGAUGAAGUUUUUCGGAAUGUAAAGUGCUUUCAGUUGGGAAGAAAAAAAUGACGGUACCAACAGAAGAAGUGACGGCUAAAUACGUGCCAGCAGCCGCGGUAAUACGUAUGUCACAAGCGUUAUCCGGAUUUAUUGGGCGUAAAGCGCGUCUAGGUGGUUAUAUAAGUCUGAUGUGAAAAUGCAGGGCUCAACUCUGUAUUGCGUUGGAAACUGUGUAACUAGAGUACUGGAGAGGUAAGCGGAACUACAAGUGUAGAGGUGAAAUUCGUAGAUAUUUGUAGGAAUGCCGAUGGGGAAGCCAGCUUACUGGACAGAUACUGACGCUGAAGCGCGAAAGCGUGGGUAGCAAACAGG